AUUGAACGCUGGCGGCAGGCCUAACACAUGCAAGUCGAGCGGAUGAGUGGAGCUUGCUCCAUGAUUCAGCGGCGGACGGGUGAGUAAUGCCUAGGAAUCUGCCUAUUAGUGGGGGACAACGUUUCGAAAGGAACGCUAAUACCGCAUACGUCCUACGGGAGAAAGCAGGGGGACCUUCGGGCCUUGCGCUAAUAGAUGAG
RNAcentral lists this ribosomal RNA (200 nucleotides) under uncultured bacterium. RNAcentral's name for it is "partial 16S ribosomal RNA". It matches the Rfam family "Bacterial small subunit ribosomal RNA", at positions 30 to 229 of the family's 1533-position model. The record is from RNAcentral.